Molecule: ribosomal RNA, 469 nt
Filed under: uncultured bacterium
Lineage: Bacteria
Description: partial 16S ribosomal RNA
Rfam family: Bacterial small subunit ribosomal RNA
Source: RNAcentral
GGACGAACGCUGGCGGCGUGCUUAACCCAUGCAAGUCGAACGGAAAGGCCCUGCUUUUGUGGGGUGCUCGAGUGGCGAACGGGUGAGUAACACGUGAGUAACCUGCCCUUGACUUUGGGAUAACUUCAGGAAACUGGGGCUAAUACCGGCUAGGAGCUCCUGCUGCAUGGUGGGGGUUGGAAAGUUUCGGCGGUUGGGGAUGGACUCGCGGCUUAUCAGCUUGUUGGUGGGGUAGUGGCUUACCAAGGCUUUGACGGGUAGCCGGCCUGAGAGGGUGACCGGCCACAUUGGGACUGAGAGACGGCCCAGACUCCUACGGGAGGCAGCAGUGGGGAAUAUUGCACGAUGGGCGGAAGCCUGAUGCAGCAACGCCGCGUGCGGGAUGACGGCCUUCGGGUUGUAAACCGCUUUCGCCUGUGACGAAGCGUGAGUGACGGUAAUGGGUAAAGAAGCACCGGCUAACUACGUG